ACGGAAGGCAGCAGUGGGGAAUAUUGCACAAUGGGGGAAACCCUGAUGCAGCGACGCCGCGUGAGUGAAGAAGUUAUUCGUAAUGUAAAGCUCUAUCAGCAGGGAAGAAAAUGACGGUACCUGACUAAGAAGCCCCGGCUAACUACGUGCCAGCAGCCGCGGUAAUCCGUAGGGGGCAAGCGUUAUCCGGAUUUACUGGGUGUAAAGGGAGCGUAGACGGUCUGGCAAGUCUGAUGUGAAAGGCAGGGGCUCAACUCCUGGACUGCAUUGGAAACUGUCAGUCUUGAGUGUCGGAGAGGUAAGCGGAAUUCCUAGUGUAGCGGUGAAAUGCGUAGAUAUUAGGAGGAACACCAGUGGCGAAGGCGGCUUACUGGACGAUAACUGACGUUGAGGCUCGAAAGCGUGGGGAGCAAACAGGAUUAGAUACCCUGGUA
RNAcentral lists this ribosomal RNA (434 nucleotides) under uncultured Lachnospiraceae bacterium. RNAcentral's name for it is "partial 16S ribosomal RNA". It matches the Rfam family "Bacterial small subunit ribosomal RNA", at positions 341 to 792 of the family's 1533-position model. Lineage: Bacteria; Bacillati; Bacillota; Clostridia; Lachnospirales; Lachnospiraceae. The record is from RNAcentral.